UACGUAGGGGGCUAGCGUUGUCCGGAAUCAUUGGGCGUAAAGAGCGCGUAGGCGGCCCGGUAAGUCCGCUGUGAAAGUCGGGGGCUCAACCCUCGAAUGCCGGUGGAUACUGUCGGGCUAGAGUGCGGAAGAGGCGAGUGGAAUUCCUGGUGUAGCGGUGAAAUGCGCAGAUAUCAGGAGGAACACCAAUUGCGAAGGCAGCUCGCUGGGACGUAACUGACGCUGAGACGCGAAAGCGUGGGGAGCAAACAGG
RNAcentral lists this ribosomal RNA (253 nucleotides) under uncultured bacterium. RNAcentral's name for it is "partial 16S ribosomal RNA". It matches the Rfam family "Bacterial small subunit ribosomal RNA", at positions 524 to 776 of the family's 1533-position model. The record is from RNAcentral.